RNAcentral lists this ribosomal RNA (235 nucleotides) under uncultured bacterium. RNAcentral describes it as "partial 16S ribosomal RNA". It matches the Rfam family "Bacterial small subunit ribosomal RNA", at positions 524 to 754 of the family's 1533-position model. The record is from RNAcentral.
UACAGAGGGUGCGAGCGUUUGUUCGGAAUUACUGGGCGUAAAGAGCUCGUAGGUGGUUUGUCGCGUUGUUCGUGAAAACUCACAGCUCAACUGUGGGCGUGCGGGCGAUACGGGCAGACUUGAGUACUGCAGGGGGAGACUGGAAUUCCUGGUGUAGCGGUGGAAUGCGCAGAUAUCAGGAAGAACACCCGGUGGCGAAGGCGGCUCGCUGGGCCAGUUCUGACACUCGAUCCGC